UACGAGGGGGGCGAGCGUUGUUCGGAAUUAUUGGGCGUAAAGGGCGCGUAGGCGGUCGGAUAAGUCUUGUGUGAAAUCUUCGGGCUCAACUCGAAGUCUGCACAGGAAACUAUCUGGCUUGAGUGUGGGAGAGGUGAGUGGAAUUCCUGGUGUAGCGGUGAAAUUCGUAGAUAUUGGGAAGAACACCGGUGGCGAAGGCGGCGACCUGGUCCUUGACUGACGCUGAGGCGCGAAAGCGUGGGGAGCAAACAGG
Molecule: ribosomal RNA, 253 nt
Filed under: uncultured bacterium
Lineage: Bacteria
Description: partial 16S ribosomal RNA
Rfam family: Bacterial small subunit ribosomal RNA
Source: RNAcentral